This 506-nucleotide ribosomal RNA is filed under the name uncultured bacterium. Its description in RNAcentral is "partial 16S ribosomal RNA". It matches the Rfam family "Bacterial small subunit ribosomal RNA", at positions 28 to 523 of the family's 1533-position model. The record is from RNAcentral.
GAUGAACGCUAGCUACAGGCUUAACACAUGCAAGUCGAGGGGUAACGAGAGGAAAGCUUGCUUUCCUUGUCGACGACCGGCGCACGGGUGAGUAACGCGUAUCCAACCUGCCCCCAACUAGGGAAUAACCUUGCGAAAGUAAGACUAAUACCCUAUAAUUUCCUCAGAUGUCAUCUGACGAGGAAUAAAGAUUUAUCGGUUGUGGAUGGGGAUGCGUCUGAUUAGCUUGUUGGCGGGGUAACGGCCCACCAAGGCAACGAUCAGUAGGGGUUUUGAGAGGAAGGUCCCCCACAUUGGAACUGAGACACGGUCCAAACUACUACGGGAGGCAGCAGUGAGGAAUAUUGGUCAAUGGGCGGAAGCCUGAACCAGCCAAGUAGCGUGCAGGAUGACGGCCCUAUGGGUUGUAAACUGCUUUUAUACAGGAAUAAAGUUAGCCACGUGUGGUUAUUUGUAGGUACUGUAUGAAUAAGGACCGGCUAAUUCCGUGCCAGCAGCCGCGGUAA